GAAAUGCGAAAGUUAAUGCGAAUUGCAGAAUUCAGUGAAUCAUCGAGUCUUUGAACGCACAUUGCGCCGCCGGUAUUCCGGCGGGCAUGCCUGUCCGAGCGUCUCUUCGAACAAGGUCGAGCCCCGUUUCUCGGGGAGGUCUCCUCCCCGAUAGGCGCCAGGGCGUCGGUGUUGGACGUUCCGACCGUCUUGGUCGGACGUCUUCGAAACGCAUCCCACCGGUGGCCGCAGCCGACCGACCCCGGAGUCGCCGGACGGCGUGACUUCGUCGGAGGUUCGGAGCGGCUCACCGGGUGCAACGGAUCGGGUGCCCCAGGGCCUGAUUCAUCACCGUUCGACCUCGGAUCAGGUAGGGUUACCCGCUGAACUUAAGC
RNAcentral lists this unclassified non-coding RNA (374 nucleotides) under plant metagenome. Its description in RNAcentral is "partial contains 5.8S ribosomal RNA, internal transcribed spacer 2, and large subunit ribosomal RNA". The stretch from base 1 to 104 matches the Rfam family "5.8S ribosomal RNA", at positions 50 to 154 of the family's 154-position model. The record is from RNAcentral.